RNAcentral lists this ribosomal RNA (699 nucleotides) under Psychrobacter sp. MMRF609. Its description in RNAcentral is "bacterial SSU rRNA". It matches the Rfam family "Bacterial small subunit ribosomal RNA", at positions 287 to 978 of the family's 1533-position model. The record is from RNAcentral. Lineage: Bacteria; Pseudomonadati; Pseudomonadota; Gammaproteobacteria; Moraxellales; Moraxellaceae.
CUGGUCUGAGAGGAUGAUCAGCCACACCGGGACUGAGACACGGGCCCGGACUCCACGGGAGGCAGCAGUGGGGAAUAUUGGACAAUGGGGGGAACCCUGAUCCAGCCAUGCCGCGUGUGUGAAGAAGGCCUUUUGGUUGUAAAGCACUUUAAGCAGUGAAGAAGACUCUUCGGUUAAUACCCGGGGACGAUGACAUUAGCUGCAGAAUAAGCACCGGCUAACUCUGUGCCAGCAGCCGCGGUAAUACAGAGGGUGCAAGCGUUAAUCGGAAUUACUGGGCGUAAAGCGAGCGUAGGUGGCUUGAUAAGUCAGAUGUGAAAUCCCCGGGCUUAACCUGGGAACUGCAUCUGAAACUGUUAGGCUAGAGUAGGUGAGAGGGAAGUAGAAUUUCAGGUGUAGCGGUGAAAUGCGUAGAGAUCUGAAGGAAUACCGAUGGCGAAGGCAGCUUCCUGGCAUCAUACUGACACUGAGGCUCGAAAGCGUGGGUAGCAAACAGGAUUAGAUACCCUGGUAGUCCACGCCGUAAACGAUGUCUACUAGUCGUUGGGUCCCUUGAGGACUUAGUGACGCAGCUAACGCAAUAAGUAGACCGCCUGGGGAGUACGGCCGCAAGGUUAAAACUCAAAUGAAUUGACGGGGGCCCGCACAAGCGGUGGAGCAUUUGGUUUAAUUCGAUGCAACGCGAAGAACCUUACCUGG